Molecule: long non-coding RNA, 510 nt
Filed under: Mytilus galloprovincialis (Mediterranean mussel)
Lineage: Eukaryota; Metazoa; Mollusca; Bivalvia; Mytilida; Mytilidae
Source: RNAcentral
AUGCCCCAAAUAUAGAAUCUGAAAGAAAUAGCUUCUACAAAAAAUUAAAUGACUUUUUAAACAAAAAACGCAAUAGGUACAAUAAUUUUAGGAGGAGGAGAUAUGAACGACGCCCUUAAAAAUGUAGAUAGGAAAAGUUCAAAUAUUCGUAAAAAAGCAAGUAAACCAGUCAAUAGCCUAAAAAAUCUAAUAAAAUCAAAUGAUCUUAUAGAUAUAUGGAGACACGUUAACCCUCAAAAGAUCCAAUAUACAUGGAGACGUAAAAAUCCAGUUCAGUCUAGUAGAAUUGACAUGUUCCUAGUUAAAAAAGAUUUCGUGUUAAACGUAAAGUCAUGUGAUAUUAGGCCUAUUCUUAUUAAAAGUACUGACCACCAAGCAGUAUCAAUACAAUUACAAUCUGUAUCAUCUGAAACAAGAGGCCCGGGGUAUUGGAAAAUUAACAACGGUAUUCUCAACGAGCAAGAAUACGAAGACAAAAUAAAUAAAAUUAUACAAAAACAUAGUAAUGAG